Molecule: ribosomal RNA, 161 nt
Filed under: uncultured bacterium
Lineage: Bacteria
Description: partial 16S ribosomal RNA
Rfam family: Bacterial small subunit ribosomal RNA
Source: RNAcentral
UGGGGAAUCUUGCGCAAUGGGGGAAACCCUGACGCAGCAACGCCGCGUGGGUGAUGAAGGCCUUCGGGUCGUAAAGCCCUGUCAGGUGGGAAGAAUCAUAUCGAUUCGAAUAGGGUCGAUAUCUGACGGUACCACCGGAGGAAGCACCGGCUAACUCCGUG